Molecule: ribosomal RNA, 497 nt
Filed under: uncultured bacterium
Lineage: Bacteria
Description: partial 16S ribosomal RNA
Rfam family: Bacterial small subunit ribosomal RNA
Source: RNAcentral
GAUGAACGCUGGCGGCGUGCCUAAUACAUGCAAGUCGAGCGAACAGACGAGGAGCUUACUCCUCUGACGUUAGCGGCGGACGGGUGAGUAACACGUGGAUAACCUACCUAUAAGACUGGGAUAACUUCGGGAAACCGGAGCUAAUACCGGAUAACAUGUUGAACCGCAUGGUUCAACAGUGAAAGACGGUCUUGCUGUCACUUAUAGAUGGAUCCGCGUCGCAUUAGCUAGUUGGUAAGGUAACGGCUUACCAAGGCAACGAUGCGUAGCCGACCUGAGAGGGUGAUCGGCCACACUGGAACUGAGACACGGUCCAGACUCCUACGGGAGGCAGCAGUAGGGAAUCUUCCGCAAUGGGCGAAAGCCUGACGGAGCAACGCCGCGUGAGUGAAGAAGGUCUUCGGAUCGUAAAACUCUGUUAUUAGGGAAGAACAAAUGUGUAAGUAACUAUGCACGUCUUGACGGUACCUAGUCAGAAAGCCACGGCUAACUACGUG